RNAcentral lists this ribosomal RNA (279 nucleotides) under uncultured bacterium. Its description in RNAcentral is "partial 16S ribosomal RNA". It matches the Rfam family "Bacterial small subunit ribosomal RNA", at positions 506 to 784 of the family's 1533-position model. The record is from RNAcentral.
UGCCAGCCGCCGCGGUAAUACGGGGGAUGCAAGCGUUAUCCGGAAUCAUUGGGUUUAAAGGGUGCGUAGGCGGCGUUAUAAGUCAGAUGUGAAAGCCGGCAGCUUAACUGUCGAAUUGCAUUUGAUACUGUAAUGCUUGAAUGAGGUUGAGGUCAGCGGAAUGAGUCAUGUAGCGGUGAAAUGCAUAGAUAUGACUUAGAACACCAAUUGCGAAGGCAGCUGACUGGACCUACAUUGACGCUGAGGCACGAAAGCGUGGGGAGCGAACAGGAUUAGAUA